GUGAUCCCUGCAGCACUGUGUAAUUAUUCAUUUCUAGGUUAUGCUGGGACUUGUAGUGGUUUAGUGUUCCUGUUUAUAACUAUUCGUUUAUAGCGGCAUUCUCCCAUUUAGAACAGUGAUGACAUUUCACCUGUUCUCUAAUAAAACCCCAGCAAAAUCCCUGUAUGAUCCCAACCUCGGACCCCUGUAUUUAUUGAGCUCAAUCAGCUGCUGGAUGCCAUGAUGACAUCAUCAGAUGCAGAUGUGAUGUCACAAUAGAACAGAACAGCAAAAUCCUGCUGAUCUGGAGACCGAGCCUCACACUACGGUGAUUCGACAGAGAAAGAGGAUGGACUUAAAAACGACUUUGUUGUUGCUGGCGGCGGGGGUGUUUUGGGCGGCUUUAUUGCUGACUUUCUUAUACCUGUAUUUUUGCCACCGGAAUAAUAAUAAGGAAAUAAAAUAUUCUAAACUGGAAGAGGUUGUGGUGGAGGCGAAAGGAGAGACUGAAAAAGGAAAAAAAGCUAAUGACCUAAAGCAGAUGGAGGAGGACGGCGGAGAGUGAACUCAUCUGCAGAGGAUCUGAACAGCUGGGAGUUUGGGGAAAGGGAAAAAUAUAAAAGGGGAGUAAAAAAAAAAUCAAAAAAAUAUAAAAAUAAUAAAAAAAAAUAGAAAAUAAUCUGAAAAAAAUAAAAAAAAAUAAAAAAAAAAUCUAAAAAUAUAUAAAAAAAAUAAACCAAAAAAUUAUAAGAUGA
This is a long non-coding RNA of Hyla sarda, 734 nucleotides long. RefSeq lists it as uncharacterized. The record is from RefSeq and is a predicted model, not a curated record. Lineage: Eukaryota; Metazoa; Chordata; Amphibia; Anura; Hylidae. The transcript is spliced from 4 exons.